CAGAAGUAGAUGGAAUGAGUAACUGCAGAGAAGAUGGGCUGGGAAGUUUUGGUUCACUGUCGCACAGGAACAUGGCAAGAGAUGCAGUAGCGUAAAUCAUUUAUAGUUCAGCUCUCCACUCAAACCUGGGACAACCACAGAACUUUUCUGCGAUGACCAUCCUUCAUCCCUGCUGUGCUGCUCGAUCCUGCUGUUCUUGGAGUUGAACACUAAUGGGCUUAAGCUUUCCAGGACUCAGGCGUUCCCAGACACAUCUCCUAACAAACAGCCUGAUGGAUUUGGAAGCAAGUUCCUUGACCUUUGGCUGCAGGGUUGCCUUAUGGCCUCCACUAAAAUAAAGAAGUGUAAUCUCCAUGGUGCAAAAUAGAAGUCAGCAAAUCUCCUGCCAAGAAGCAGACAAGGAAAAAUGGUUUCUGGGCCUCUUCUUUUGGGAAACUUACCAGUUAUUCCACUGAGAAUUUACAAAACCCUCCACAGUUCUCAGAGCACCUGCAGAGUGGUCCAUUUGCAUUCCCUUCAUCCACUGAUUGGACCAUUUUCGGGAAACAAUUUAAAAGAAGAUAUAUAGAAAUAUACAUCUUCCAUCUCUAGCAGCUUUUGGUACAAACCAAACACAAAGAAAAAAAGACUACAGUUUUAC
This is a long non-coding RNA of Gallus gallus (chicken), 640 nucleotides long. The record is from Ensembl. NCBI's taxonomy places the organism in Eukaryota, Metazoa, Chordata, Aves, Galliformes, Phasianidae.